UCUACUAUUCCCUAGGUUCCCUCACCCCUCUUUCAAGGAUGAGGUGGGUUCCUAAAGUUUACCCGAACCCCUCUUUCAAGGAUGCUUUGAGCUUUUAAGAGCUUGGGAUUUUCAUCCAUCAAACUCAUUUGGGUAUUUGGGGCUUUCACCCACAAAUCCCAACUAAUUUAAUCAAGCAAUAGAAGAACCCAUCAACAUUAACUAAGAAUCUGAGCUACAAUUAUAACCCAC
RNAcentral lists this long non-coding RNA (231 nucleotides) under Capsicum annuum. RNAcentral describes it as "long non-coding RNA (CANN_LNC018783)". The record is from RNAcentral. Lineage: Eukaryota; Viridiplantae; Streptophyta; Magnoliopsida; Solanales; Solanaceae.